RNAcentral lists this non-coding RNA (101 nucleotides) under Anaerobacillus alkalilacustris. RNAcentral describes it as "TPP sequence". It matches the Rfam family "TPP riboswitch aptamer (THI element)". Rfam says of the family: Vitamin B(1) in its active form thiamin pyrophosphate (TPP) is an essential coenzyme that is synthesised by coupling of pyrimidine and thiazole moieties in bacteria. The previously detected thiamin-regulatory element, thi box was extended, resulting in a new, highly conserved RNA secondary structure, the THI element, which is widely distributed in eubacteria and also occurs in some archaea. The record is from RNAcentral. Lineage: Bacteria; Bacillati; Bacillota; Bacilli; Caryophanales; Bacillaceae.
AGCGAAGACUAGGGGUGCCUUAUGGCUGAGAAAAAGGUUAGACUUUUACCCUUGUACCUGAUCUGGGUUGUGCCAGCGUAGGAAAGUCGUUGAUUCUAACU